This 360-nucleotide unclassified non-coding RNA is filed under the name Bombus terrestris (buff-tailed bumblebee). Its description in RNAcentral is "misc RNA ENSBTSG00005032371.1". Lineage: Eukaryota; Metazoa; Arthropoda; Insecta; Hymenoptera; Apidae. The record is from RNAcentral.
GAUAUAAAACAUAUUGGAGAAAGAAAUGUACGAGCAUAGAGAAAUCAUUGGAUACAAAAUAAUGACAAUACGGGUUAUUUUGAACUUUUCUGGCCAAACUACACAAGCAUCGUCUAUAAAUAAAAAUAAGAAAAAGCCCUUGUUUCCAAUGGAUUUCAUGAAACGUAAAAAUUCUUCGACUACAAAGAGAAAGCGACAAACGACCGGUAAAGCUUCAUCGCCGAAUAAACGGAAACGGAAAUGGACGUGGUUACAGCGAGUAGGUGCACACGCGGGUAUCACGAGCGUUCGUUACAUCGUCAGGGGGCUCGUGACGACUUUUCCGUCGAGGCGUUAACGCACAGCGAACGUGUUACCUUC